AAUAGAUACCCCGGUAGUCCACGCCCUAAACGAUGCGAACUGGAUGUUGGGUUCAACUUGGAACCCAGUAUCGAAGCUAACGCGUUAAGUUCGCCGCCUGGGGAGUACGGUCGCAAGACUGAAACUCAAAGGAAUUGACGGGGGCCCGCACAAGCGGUGGAGUAUGUGGUUUAAUUCGAUGCAACGCGAAGAACCUUACCUGGUCUUGACAUCCACGGAACUUUCCAGAGAUGGAUUGGUGCCUUCGGGAACCAUGAGACAGGUGCUGCAUGGCUGUCGUCAGCUCGUGUCGUGAGAUGUUGGGUUAAGUCCCGCAACGAGCGCAACCCUUGUCCUUAGUUGCCAGCACGUAAUGGUGGGAACUCUAAGGAGACCGCCGGUGACAAACCGGAGGAAGGUGGGGAUGACAUCAAGUCAUCAUGGCCCUUACGACCAGGGCUACACACGUACUACAAUGGGAAGGACAGAGGGCUGCAAUCCCGCGAGGGGGUAGCCAAUCCCAGAAACCUUCUCUCAGUCCGGAUCGGAGUCUGCAACUCGACUCCG
Molecule: ribosomal RNA, 546 nt
Filed under: uncultured bacterium
Lineage: Bacteria
Description: bacterial SSU rRNA
Rfam family: Bacterial small subunit ribosomal RNA
Source: RNAcentral